AAAAUGGGUCACUUAGCUAUUGGGAGAAUGAUGCGCUCCCUCACGGAGUUUCCAUAGAUGAUACAUGUGAGGCUUGCUGUGCUAAGAGAGCCCACACAAAGGCUUGCAGCCUGGAGAGAGGUGUGCUACACUGCAGGAUGUGCCAGAUGCAUGACCUUGUGCUUUCCAGUCCCUAUGUGAUGGGGGGGUGGGGAGAGGUUGUGAGACGGUCUCUUUCUCUGCCCUUUUUAUUCUGUAAUCUGUUUCCUUUCCUGUCAGCUUUGAGAAUCUGCCCUGCACCCCCACAAAGGAAAAAGAAAAAAAGAGAAAGGAAAAGAAAGCAAGGAUAGGUGUCUUGUAAAAUCCCUAGCAGUUGCCAUGGUAAUCCAGGCUCUCAGCUUGGUCUUAGCAGGACGUCGGGAUGCCUGUACAGAGACUGCUGAGCAUUGCAGGCUUUGGGGAAUCGCAGGGAGACCUUCCUGUCCAGCUGGGGAAACAUUCAUUCACUUCCUCCGUGGAAGGCCAGAGCAGAGAGAAAAAGAAACCCUGUCCUGCACAAACCCAGGAGCCCCUGCAUGGAAGGUUAGCAGGGGUUGAUUCCCCACCUGCAGGACUGUGCAGAUCUUUGUCUUCUGAGCUAAGGAACUACUGCUAACUUGCCUUGGCUAGUGUGAGGACUUGAUGUAUGUGGUCUGCCGGUGGGUUACAGCCACUGGCUCUCCAGCAGUACAAUCCUGGGGACGAUUUUGCUCCUGGCUCAGUGCAUGGAGGGAGGUCUGAGAAGAAACCAGAGCUUAAAGGUGAGCUAGCAGGCACACAGAUUUAGUGCAGUCAUUUUGAAAAGCAGUGUGACCAAAACUAUGGGAUGUUACUGGG
Molecule: long non-coding RNA, 855 nt
Filed under: Crocodylus porosus (Australian saltwater crocodile)
Lineage: Eukaryota; Metazoa; Chordata; Crocodylia; Crocodylidae
Description: lncRNA (ENSCPRG00005001229.1)
Source: RNAcentral